CUCUGGAUGGUGGCUGACUUUCAUCCUAAGGGUUUUGCUUUUGCAGCCCCAGCAGGGGGUAGUGGACAUGUCUCAUCUAAGACUCUGUGAUGUUGUUACCCUCAGCCUUCCCCAUCAUCAUUCCUCACUAUGUAACUGUCACUGCUGGACAUAACACAUGGUCCAAUGAAGCCCUCUCUGAAGUCUGCACACCAGACACCUGCUUAAAAGGGUGAGAUUCCUGCAGACCAGGGGCCUCUAGGAGCCAUGCCUUCAAGGAAGAACUGAUAUUGCAAGAAAUGUGUCACACAUU
This 292-nucleotide long non-coding RNA is filed under the name Phasianus colchicus (ring-necked pheasant). RNAcentral describes it as "lncRNA (ENSPCLG00000011372.1)". Lineage: Eukaryota; Metazoa; Chordata; Aves; Galliformes; Phasianidae. The record is from RNAcentral.